GGUCGAUGAUGAUAGACGUUAAGGCUUGUUUCUCAAAAACAUUCGCAGUGGCCGCCUAAGGCUUUCGCCUUUCGCCGGGCUUGAGAGCUUAUGAUGUUUUUCUUAUCCUUCCUUGGAUGUCUGAGACC
Small nucleolar RNA from Raphanus sativus (radish), 128 nucleotides. RefSeq annotates it as small nucleolar RNA SNORD14. The transcript has a single exon. Lineage: Eukaryota; Viridiplantae; Streptophyta; Magnoliopsida; Brassicales; Brassicaceae. The record is from RefSeq and is a predicted model, not a curated record.